Molecule: long non-coding RNA, 638 nt
Filed under: Malus domestica (apple)
Lineage: Eukaryota; Viridiplantae; Streptophyta; Magnoliopsida; Rosales; Rosaceae
Description: long non-coding RNA (MDOM_LNC015474)
Source: RNAcentral
GUGCUUAUCGGGUUACCCGAUAACGACCCGUUUCGUUAUCGUGUCGACCUGAACACCUGUUAAUUUCGUGUCGUGUCGUGUCGGGUUAUCGGGUCGUGUCAGGAAUUGCCAGGCCUAGAUAUGACAUGUAAGCACAAUUGACUCAUAGCAUCUCCAAUGAAUCAAUGAUGUAGAAAAACAAAAUAAGUAAAACUGUACCAUACAGACUUAUGUAGCAUGUUGUCUACUCAUUUCCCUAGUGAAAGUGUGUAUUAUUUUCUUCAACCAUUUUGUUAGCUGUUCACCAAAAAGAUAAAUGGUACAACCUAAUUGACGGAUCACAGAGAAUAUUUUAUAACAGAAGGAUGUGGGCGCUGUUUGCCUACUCAUGUUGAAGCAAUAUUGUCUAAUUUGGAAGAAUAUGCAAAUUUUGUCUAUUUAAUUGCCCAAUCCCUUCACUAUUAGAGCAACAAUUUAUUUAUUUGGCUCAUCAAAUAAAGUUUGCCUACCCAUUUGGCUAUAUUAUUGAAGAUGCUCUUACAUUUUUGUUCUGAAGUUUGGAAUUUAUAUCAUGUGCAGUAAUGGGAGAAAUGACUUGACUUGCUUGAAAACUAAUGAAAAUGGCUUGAAAAUUUUGAGUUUUAAUGAUAAGGACAAAA